Molecule: ribosomal RNA, 301 nt
Filed under: uncultured bacterium
Lineage: Bacteria
Description: partial 16S ribosomal RNA
Rfam family: Bacterial small subunit ribosomal RNA
Source: RNAcentral
CAGUAGCCACGGUAAUACGUAGGGUGCGAGCGUUAAUCGGAAUUACUGGGCGUAAAGCGUGCGCAGGCGGUUUUGUAAGACAGGCGUGAAAUCCCCGGGCUCAACCUGGGAAUGGCGCUUGUGACUGCAAAGCUAGAGUGCGGCAGAGGGGGAUGGAAUUCCGCGUGUAGCAGUGAAAUGCGUAGAUAUGCGGAGGAACACCGAUGGCGAAGGCAAUCCCCUGGGCCUGCACUGACGCUCAUGCACGAAAGCAUGGGGAGCAAACAGGAUUAGAUACCCGGGUAGUCCCUGUCUCUUAUAC